RNAcentral lists this ribosomal RNA (468 nucleotides) under Pestalotiopsis acaciae. RNAcentral's name for it is "eukaryotic LSU rRNA". The stretch from base 147 to 300 matches the Rfam family "5.8S ribosomal RNA". Lineage: Eukaryota; Fungi; Ascomycota; Sordariomycetes; Amphisphaeriales; Sporocadaceae. The record is from RNAcentral.
UUAUAGAGUUUUCUAAACUCCCAACCCAUGUGAACUUACCUUUUGUUGCCUCGGCAGAAGUUAUAGGUCUUCUUAUAGCUGCUGCCGGUGGACUAUUAAACUCUUGUUAUUUUAUGUAAUCUGAGCGUCUUAUUUUAAUAAGUCAAAACUUUCAACAACGGAUCUCUUGGUUCUGGCAUCGAUGAAGAACGCAGCGAAAUGCGAUAAGUAAUGUGAAUUGCAGAAUUCAGUGAAUCAUCGAAUCUUUGAACGCACAUUGCGCCCAUUAGUAUUCUAGUGGGCAUGCCUGUUCGAGCGUCAUUUCAACCCUUAAGCCUAGCUUAGUGUUGGGAAUCUACUUCUUUCAUUAGUCGUAGUUCCUGAAAUACAACGGCGGAUUUGUGGUAUCCUCUGAGCGUAGUAAUUUUUUUCCUCGCUUUUGUUAGGUGCUAUGACUCCCAGCCGCUAAACCCCCAAUUUUUUGUGGUU